Long non-coding RNA from Andrographis paniculata, 632 nucleotides. RefSeq lists it as uncharacterized. The transcript has 2 exons. The record is from RefSeq and is a predicted model, not a curated record. NCBI's taxonomy places the organism in Eukaryota, Viridiplantae, Streptophyta, Magnoliopsida, Lamiales, Acanthaceae.
AUAAGAUAUACACAUAUAUAUAUAUAUACACACAUUGUCCUAAACUGUAGUGAAUGGUCUCUCAUCACCAUCAUUGUUAGUCAGUCCCAUCUCAUCCUCAUCUUCAUCUUCAUCUUCUUCUUGAUCAAUCUUGAUCUUGAUGAUGGAUCAUCGUCGACAUGAGCGUAGCUCUUUUACAUUAUUUUCUUGUAAUUCAACCAAGCUUCAACAUCACACUUUCAGCAGCACAAGCAGCUAUAGCUAUUUGGAUCAGAUCAGAUCAGAUCAAAAAAUAUUAUUGAUCCCACAUACACUAUACAAAGAUCGAUCAAGAAACACCACAAUUCCAUAGCUUUGAAGAUGAUGAUGAUGAAGAAGAAGAUGAAAAGAAGAAACCCUAAUUUCAGAAGUCUGGUUUUCUUCUUAAUUUCUUCUGUUUCCCGGGAAUUGAAGCCCCAAGGUCCGAAUAUAUAUAUAUAUAUAUAUCAUCCAUAUUUAUAAUUAAUUAAUUUUGUUUCUUUAAUUUCAUUUCAUAUCUACCCAAAAAAAAAAAAAAAUUGUGUGUUUUCACUUCAUCUUCAUUUCUCCUUAUAAUGUGUAUGAGGGUUUUCUAUCCUUCUUGGUUGCAAUUAAAUAAAUAUAUAAUUCCAUUU